Molecule: ribosomal RNA, 253 nt
Filed under: uncultured bacterium
Lineage: Bacteria
Description: partial 16S ribosomal RNA
Rfam family: Bacterial small subunit ribosomal RNA
Source: RNAcentral
UACGUACUGUGCGAACGUUAUUCGGAAUCACUGGGCUUAAAGGGUGCGUAGGCGGCUUAAUAAGUCAGGUGUGAAAUCCCACGGCUCAACCGUGGAACUGCGCUUGAAACUGUUAAGCUUGAGUAUCUCAGGGGUGAGCGGAACUUCCAGUGGAGCGGUGAAAUGUGUUGAUAUUGGAAGGAACACCGGUAGCGAAAGCGGCUCACUGGGGGAUUACUGACGCUGAGGCACGAAAGCUAGGGGAGCGAACAGG